This 323-nucleotide long non-coding RNA is filed under the name Ananas comosus (pineapple). RNAcentral's name for it is "long non-coding RNA (ACOM_LNC010194)". Lineage: Eukaryota; Viridiplantae; Streptophyta; Magnoliopsida; Poales; Bromeliaceae. The record is from RNAcentral.
AAGCGGACAAUGUUGGUUACAAACAGUACAUAAAUUCUGAGAAUGGGGGUGAGGUGGUUAAGAGAAAAGGACGGAAGAAUGGGUAUAGUUAGUGGGAUCGUAAGAUUCCAGUAAGAAAUAGACGCGUCAGCACUCAAGCCAAAACAGCCAACAUCGCAAAGCACUCCAUUUAAAAUGGACAGACGAUCUUACACUAUUUUGACCAUAUAUUACACUUUUUUGACCAUAUCUUGCACCAUUUUGAAUAGUAUUACACCAUUAAAUCUAUCAUUGCAAAAAUAUUAAAUUUGUCCGUAUUGGAUUGGUUGUACAAAACGUUCAAU